AAAAAGUAGCUAAUAUGAUAGAGCACUAAUCUAGAUCAAGAUGCCUUGGGCUGCUGGGCACAGUGGCACAUACUUGUAAUCCCAGUGACGCAGGAGGAUAAUGAGUUCAAGACCAGCCUCAGCAACUUAGCAAAGCCCUAUCAAUUCAGUGAGACCCUGUCUCUAAAUAAAAUAUAAAAAGGCUGGGGAUGUAGCUCAGUGGUAAAGCACCCCUGGGUUCAAUCCCAUUUACUACCACUCCCCCUGCAAAAUGCCCUAGGCUAAAUCCUAUUCACAGAUUAUGUCAUUGAAGCCUCACACAUUUUUGGUGAUUUCCUCAUGCUACAGUGAGAAAAAGCUAUAGCUUGACCAAGGCCAUUGGUUAAUAAAGUGAUCAGGAUCUGAAACUUUUUUCUACAAAGCUUGGGCUAAUCCACUCCCCAAUGAGUACAUCAGAAGUACAAGAGGUAUCUGAAUUUAUGUGCAUUUUAAUCAGAUGUGAAUAUUCAAAUCAGAAAGAACUUUUUGUAUUAUAAUAGCUGCUCACAUUUCCACACUACAUGAUGAAAUACCAAAUACGUCCUCAGUUCCUUUGAUUAAACCAUGCUCUCUGCUAGAGGACCCCUUCCUCCAGCUCUCUGACAUGAAAGCCAGAAUGAUCUUUAUAAUAAAAUGCCCAUCAGGCCAUGUCACUCUCCUGUUCAUGAUCCUCCAAUAGCUUCCAAUCCAACUUGGAAUAAAAUUUAAACUCCCGCCGCCCUCUCCAAGUUCAUUGCACAGCUUUUGUCCAUACUCCUGUCAUGGGCAACAGUGGCCUCUCAGUUCCCACAUGUGCCAACGUUGGUUACUCCAGUGUCUGUUCUUCUCUACAAAUGAGUAACUGAAAUAAUUUGGUGGUUACCUCCCUGGCGUGGUGACACUUUGGGCAGUGGUUUUGAAGUGCAAUCCCUGGACCAGCAGCAUUAGCAUCAUCAGGUUACUUGUCCCCUGUCAGGAUUACCGAAUCUGACAAAACUGAGAGUGGGGACCACAGAUCUGACAAGCCCUUCAGGCAAUUCUGAUGUAAUACAGGCAAUCCUAGGGCAUUUCAAAUUAUUUUCAUGUUGCUCAUUUUUUAAAGUUUUAAAUUCUCAUGGAUGGCACUAGAGCAGAUUAUGCUAAGUGAAGCUAGCCAAUCCCUAAAAAACAAAUGCCAAAUGUCAUCUUUGAUAUAAGGAGAGCAACUAAGAACAGAAUAGGGGGGAAGAGCAUGAGAAGAAGAUCACCAUUAAACAGGGAUGAGAGGGGGGGAGAGAAAGAGAGAUAGAAGGGAAAUUGCAU
Molecule: long non-coding RNA, 1299 nt
Filed under: Marmota monax (woodchuck)
Lineage: Eukaryota; Metazoa; Chordata; Mammalia; Rodentia; Sciuridae
Source: RNAcentral